RNAcentral lists this long non-coding RNA (411 nucleotides) under Homo sapiens (human). RNAcentral's name for it is "non-protein coding lnc-QTRT1-3:1". The record is from RNAcentral. Lineage: Eukaryota; Metazoa; Chordata; Mammalia; Primates; Hominidae.
GGAGGUAGGGCUGGGCUUUGUAGACACCACACUUGGUGGGACAGAGGCCUGCUAGGGAGAGGGCCUGUGUCCUUGCCACCAGCCCAUCUUCCACGCCAUGUCCCCCUGCACUCUUUGAAGGGAGAUGGUCUCUUUUGGGGCUAAGCUGGGGUCCUGGAGCCAGAAGAGAACUGAGAUUUGCUGUGGGGGGUUGGGAGCUGUUCCAUUUUUAGUGGCUGCUACAGGAAGAGCGGCCGAGUGUUUCCCCUUGUCCCUGCAGAAGGCUGGAGUGUAACUGUCCUUGGGAACUGGGUCAGCUGAUAGCAGGGCUGGGGGUGGGGGUGGGGAUCCUGAAUCCUCCAGCAGAUGUCCUCAUUGCCCUGAUCUGGGUGGCCAGUGCCUGUGCUGGACACGGUCCUCAGUCAUCGGAGC